AUGGUAGCGAUGGCGGCUGGGUCGAGUGGAUUGCUCCUGCCGGCGUUUGGGCUGCGAUUGCUCUUGGCUGCUGUACUUCAGACGGUGUCUGCAUUUGGGGCAGAGUUUUCAUCAGAGACUUGCAGAGAGAUAGGCUUCUCCAGCAACUUGCUCUGCAGCUCUUGUGAUCUUCUUGGACAGUUUAACCUGCUUCAGCUCGAUCCUGACUGUAGAGCAUGCUGUCAGGAAGAAGCACAAUUUGAAACAAAAAAGCUUUAUGCAGGUGCUAUUCUUGAAGUUUGUGGAUGAAAAUUGGGGAGGUUCCCUCAAGUCCAAGCUUUUGUCAGGAGUGAUAAACCCAAACUAUUCAGAGGACUACAAAUCAAGUAUGUUCGUGGUUCAGAUCCUGUAUUAAAGCUUUUGGAUGACAACGGGAACAUUGCUGAAGAAUUAAGCAUCCUCAAAUGGAACACAGACAGUGUAGAAGAAUUCCUUAGUGAAAAGUUGGAACGCAUAUAAAUCUUGCUUCAAUUUUGUCCUAUCCUUUUGUUACUUUAUCAAAUGAAAUAUUACAGUACCUAGAGAAUAUUUUAGAGUUUUGCCUCCUUCCUUUGAUCAUUCUUUCUGUGAGGCAUUAAACAGCUCAUUAACAGUUGAAGUGGCAGCACAGCCCAUGGUAUCUGAGGAGUUGGCAAGCUUAACAGAACCCAGUUUUCAUAAAUUUCCAUCCUUCCAUAUUUGUUGAUACCACUAACGAAAUGCUUUGUAAUAGUUGGCUAAUUAUGCAAAUGAUAGUUUGUAAUAAUUGGUCCAGUUUUAGGAGCAGCAGAUGUUUAGAGUAAGGCAGGUGAUAAGGGAGAUGCCUACUGUGCCUCAUGCAUGUGCUGUAUGCUCUUUGAAAACAACAGCAAAAACCACAAAGCAAGUAAGAGCCACUGAGCCUCAACAGAUUGCCUGCUGCUUGUUUUUCCAGCUUUCCUUUUAAUAGAAAUGUUAUAGUUCAUAAUGUGUUGCAUUAAAACUUUAUGGCUUCAUUAUUGUAAAACAGAUUCAAGAUCUACAGUAAGAAUGAAACAUUCAGAGAUUUGCAUUAAUGAAGACUACACAGAAAACCUUCAGGAGGAUUUGUGUGGUUCUGAUAUUUAGCAAAUUUUUGUGCUUCAUGCUCUUACAGAAAAAUAAAAAAUCAUUUAAGACCAAAAUAUAAAUAAA
Molecule: RNA transcript, 1191 nt
Organism: Odobenus rosmarus divergens (Pacific walrus)
Lineage: Eukaryota; Metazoa; Chordata; Mammalia; Carnivora; Odobenidae
Gene: SELENOF
Gene name: 15 kDa selenoprotein-like
Exons: 5
Source: RefSeq, a predicted model, not a curated record